GCUUUUGUGGUGUAAUAGUCAGCACACUCGGCGCGUUUUUGAGAGGUCCGAGGUUCGAGUCCUGGCGAGGGCA
Molecule: transfer RNA, 73 nt
Filed under: Stegodyphus mimosarum
Lineage: Eukaryota; Metazoa; Arthropoda; Arachnida; Araneae; Eresidae
Rfam family: tRNA
About the family: Transfer RNA (tRNA) molecules are approximately 80 nucleotides in length.
Source: Rfam by way of RNAcentral